Long non-coding RNA from Uranotaenia lowii, 358 nucleotides. RefSeq lists it as uncharacterized. The record is from RefSeq and is a predicted model, not a curated record. The transcript is spliced from 3 exons. Lineage: Eukaryota; Metazoa; Arthropoda; Insecta; Diptera; Culicidae.
UGUAAACAAAACAUUUUAAAAAAUCAUGGAACUUCGAAAAGAUCAAACCGAAGGUGCCCAUUUAACAUAAGGAAAGGUUGGCAAAGAUGGAUCAUUAAUAUCCUUUAUUAGAAUUCCAUCAAGUAUUAUAUAGCUGACUGUUUUCUGGAAUCGAACCUACUAUCUUAGGGACAUAUGUAUCUCGAGAGUGUUCUGUAUCGAUGCAAGGCUGUGAUUAUGCCUGUGGUCGAAGCUUAAGUAGAGAGCCUGAUUUGCUUGUUGCAGACAUGCGGCAGAACUAGAGGCACGACCUCAUUCUCAACCGCUUUUUAUUAAUGAUUCCAUAUCGCUUCUCGCAGAUCAUUGUAACAAAAUAUUU